CGCUGGCGGCGUGCCUAACACAUGCAAGUCGAGCGAUCUUCUUCGGAAGAGAGCGGCGGACGGGUGAGUAACGCGUGGGUAACCUGCCCUGUACACACGGAUAACAUACCGAAAGGUAUGCUAAUACGGGAUAACAUAAGAAAGUCGCAUGGCUAUCUUAUCAAAGCUUUUGCGGUACAGGAUGGACCCGCGUCUGAUUAGCUAGUUGGUAAGGUAACGGCUUACCAAGGCGACGAUCAGUAGCCGACCUGAGAGGGUGAUCGGCCACAUUGGAACUGAGACACGGUCCAAACUCCUACGGGAGGCAGCAGUGGGGAAUAUUGCACAAUGGGCGAAAGCCUGAUGCAGCAACGCCGCGUGAGCGAUGAAGGCCUUCGGGUCGUAAAGCUCUGUCCUCAAGGAAGAUAAUGACGGUACUUGAGGAGGAAGCCCCGGCUAACUACGUGCCAGCAGCCGCGGUAAUACGUAGGGGGCUAGCGUUAUCCGGAAUUACUGGGCGUAAAGGGUGCGUAGGCGGUCUUUCAAGUCAGAAGUGAAAGGCUACGGCUCAACCGUAGUAAGCUUUUGAAACUGUAAGACUUGAGUGCAGGAGAGGAGAGUGGAAUUCCUAGUGUAGCGGUGAAAUGCGUAGAUAUUAGGAGGAACACCAGUUGCGAAGGCGGCUCUCUGGACUGUAACUGACGCUGAGG
Molecule: ribosomal RNA, 689 nt
Filed under: uncultured Clostridium sp.
Lineage: Bacteria; Bacillati; Bacillota; Clostridia; Eubacteriales; Clostridiaceae
Description: bacterial SSU rRNA
Rfam family: Bacterial small subunit ribosomal RNA
Source: RNAcentral